UAUAGGUCAAGUGUGAGUACAGUAACAGGGAAUCAGGGGUGGUCUGCUCAGGAGCUCGGGGUCACUAUAGG
Molecule: long non-coding RNA, 71 nt
Organism: Brienomyrus brachyistius
Lineage: Eukaryota; Metazoa; Chordata; Actinopteri; Osteoglossiformes; Mormyridae
Exons: 2
Source: RefSeq, a predicted model, not a curated record